UUUCUUCAUCAUCUCCCUGAUUGACAUCGCACAGCUUUCAAAUAUCUAAUAGUAAGAAACUUAUAUUAUUUGCAUUUACUAGUGUUCUUGACUGGGAACAGGUUGUUCGGCUUGCUCCAGUGGUCGAGAAAACUAUAGCGUCAGGAAUGAAUAUUGUAUAUAAGGAAUGCAAAUGCUGCUUUAUGAAAAAGUCCUUCCUCAUGUAACUUAUGGAUCAAAUGUUGGUUCAAGUUGGAGAAUAUCAUCAAUAUUUGGUGGCUCGGACAAUCGUCCAUCUAUAGAAGACAAUUUCAUUAGCAAACAAUUCAGUGAUCCUGUACAGAGCAUGGGCCAUGCUUUCUGAAUGAUCCACUUGAGAGAGAUAUUGGAGGCGUUACCACUUGAUGCUGAGACAGUUGAAAGGCCUUUGGUGUUAAUAGGAGGAUGAGGCUAGUUUUGUUGCCUUUUGGUAUGAUCAUUGGCAAUUGUACCUGGCUGUCAAUUUUUGGUGUCCGAUCCUUCAUAAUUUUGUCAAAUGAGAUCAUCACUUGUGUAUAGUAUUAUUGCCAUUAUCUUGGAGAAUUCUUGUCAUUUUCUCACAAGGAUGAUGUUCCUCUUUGAUGUAUAUUUCACCACUUUUACUAUACUAGUCCUUGUUGAGCAUAAAA
Molecule: long non-coding RNA, 647 nt
Organism: Solanum verrucosum
Lineage: Eukaryota; Viridiplantae; Streptophyta; Magnoliopsida; Solanales; Solanaceae
Exons: 4
Source: RefSeq, a predicted model, not a curated record